UGCUCAUCCUGAAAAUCCAAACCAGUUAGCUUUGGGUUUAAACGACGGUGGAGUAGUCGUUAUUGAACCUUCAGAGUCUGAUGGUAAAUGGUGUGAGCCACCCAACGCCACGACUCUUACCAAUGAGCAACCAAUAUAGCAGUAGUUAACUUCGUCCAUUUGAUGAUUUGUCAUCACUUAGAGCUGCUUCUUGCUAUUGACAAACAAUAACUAUAUUUAUUUUAUUUUCAUAAAGACCAUGCUAUAAAUGG
This 251-nucleotide unclassified non-coding RNA is filed under the name Hevea brasiliensis (rubber tree). The record is from RNAcentral. Lineage: Eukaryota; Viridiplantae; Streptophyta; Magnoliopsida; Malpighiales; Euphorbiaceae.